GGGCCCGCACAAGCGGAGGAACAUGUGGUUUAAUUCGAUGAUACGCGAGGAACCUUACCUGGGUUUAAAUGGGGAGUGACAGGUGUCGAAAGAUGCUUUUCCUUCGGGACACUCUUCAAGGUGCUGCAUGGUUGUCGUCAGCUCGUGCCGUGAGGUGUCGGGUUAAGUCCCAUAACGAGCGCAACCCUUGCCGAUAGUUGCCAUCACGUAAAGGUGGGCACUCUAUCGGGACUGCCGGUGUAAACCGUGAGGAAGGUGGGGAUGACGUCAAAUCAGCACGGCCCUUACAUCCAGGGCUACACACGUGUUACAAUGGCCAGUACAGAGGGCCGCUACCCCGCGAGGGGAUGCCAAUCUCGAAAGCUGGUCUCAGUUCGGAUUGAAGUCUGGAACCCGACUUCAUGAAGCCGGAUUCGCUAGUAAUCGCGCAUCAGCCACGGCGCGGUGAAUACGUUCCCGGGCCUU
This 465-nucleotide ribosomal RNA is filed under the name uncultured bacterium. RNAcentral's name for it is "bacterial SSU rRNA". It matches the Rfam family "Bacterial small subunit ribosomal RNA", at positions 917 to 1382 of the family's 1533-position model. The record is from RNAcentral.